UGGGGAAUAUUGGACAAUGGGCGCAAGCCUGAUCCAGCAAUACCGCGUGUGUGAAGAAGGCCCUAGGGUCGUAAAGCUCUUUCGCCAGGGAUGAUAAUGACAGUACCUGGUAAAGAAGUCCCGGCUAACUCCGUGCCAGCAGCCGCGGUAAUACGGAGGGGACUAGCGUUGUUCGGAAUUACUGGGCGUAAAGCGCGCGUAGGUGGUCAUAUAAGUCAGAUGUGAAAGUCCACGGCUCAACCGUGGAAGUGCAUUUGAAACUGUAUGACUUGAGUAUUGGAGGGGGUAGUGGAAUUCCCGGUGUAGAGGUGAAAUUCGUAGAUAUUGGGAGGAAUACCAGUGGCGAAGGCGGCUUACUGGCUCGAUACUGACGCUGAGGCGCGAAAGCGUGGGGAGCAAACAGGAUUAGAUACCCUGGUAGUCCACGCCGUAAACGAUGGGUGCUAGUUGUCCGGCAGCAUGCUGUUUGGUGACGCAGCUAACGCGUUAAGCACCCCGCCUGGGGACUACGGUCGCAAGACUAAAACUCAAAGGAAUUGACGG
RNAcentral lists this ribosomal RNA (543 nucleotides) under uncultured Alphaproteobacteria bacterium. Its description in RNAcentral is "bacterial SSU rRNA". It matches the Rfam family "Bacterial small subunit ribosomal RNA", at positions 355 to 916 of the family's 1533-position model. The record is from RNAcentral. Lineage: Bacteria; Pseudomonadati; Pseudomonadota; Alphaproteobacteria.